This 490-nucleotide ribosomal RNA is filed under the name uncultured bacterium. RNAcentral describes it as "partial 16S ribosomal RNA". It matches the Rfam family "Bacterial small subunit ribosomal RNA", at positions 30 to 507 of the family's 1533-position model. The record is from RNAcentral.
AUUGAACGCUGGCGGCAGGCCUAACACAUGCAGGUCGAACGGUAACAGGAAGCAGCUUGCUGCUUUGCUGACGAGUGGCGGACGGGUGAGUAAUGUCUGGGAAACUGCCUGAUGGAGGGGGAUAACUACUGGAAACGGUAGCUAAUACCGCAUAACGUCGCAAGACCAAAGAGGGGGACCUUCGGGCCUCUUGCCAUCGGAUGUGCCCAGAUGGGAUUAGCUAGUAGGUGGGGUAACGGCUCACCUAGGCGACGAUCCCUAGCUGGUCUGAGAGGAUGACCAGCCACACUGGAACUGAGACACGGUCCAGACUCCUACGGGAGGCAGCAGUGGGGAAUAUUGCACAAUGGGCGCAAGCCUGAUGCAGCCAUGCCGCGUGUAUGAAGAAGGCCUUCGGGUUGUAAAGUACUUUCAGCGGGGAGGAAGGGAGUAAAGUUAAUACCUUUGCUCAUUGACGUUACCCGCAGAAGAAGCACCGGCUAACUCCGUG